This is a long non-coding RNA of Oncorhynchus tshawytscha (Chinook salmon), 1296 nucleotides long. NCBI's taxonomy places the organism in Eukaryota, Metazoa, Chordata, Actinopteri, Salmoniformes, Salmonidae. The record is from Ensembl.
GAAAUGCAUAUGAUGCAGCUUUCAAGUUGAAGGCGAUCAAUCUGGCUGUUGGAAAAGGAAAUAGAGCUGCUGACAGCGUGGAGCAUUGUCAAAAAAUCCACUAUCAUCAACGGGUUUCGAAAGGCUGGACUGCUGCGUGUUGAAGAGGGCAGCGAUCCAACAUCGGAUGAAGCAAUUCUGAGGCUAUUCAACUCCGACACCGAAGGAGAUGACUUCAGUGGUUUCAAUGCACAGGAGGAGGAAGAUAGUGACCAAUGACUUUCUUGUGGUUUUACCACAUUGCAGCCUGCCUGGCUGAGUUCCUGGAGCUGAAGGAUCAGACGCUACCUCUGGGCCUUCUCCUUCGAGCAGAAAGACAUCGACAAGAGUAUCCUGAUCCGUUGGACCAAAGGCUUUCUUUAACUGUUCAGGAGUGGAUGUGGUCAGGCUACUGAGAGAAGCCAUCCACAGCAGAGAGGACAGCGUUGAGACCAGAUUCAUCUCUGGAGGUAGAGGACUUCAGUAAGCAGCUCCAGGAGACCGUAAGAAUCCUAAGUGUGACAUCACUUUCCUCGUCUCGGAGGAUGGCAGUGGAAAAGGGCACUGACAUGGUAAUGGCGGUGGCACAGAAGCUGGCCAUAUCGCCCCGACUGUUAGAGGACAGCAGAGGAGGAUGAGGAAGAUGGAAAUGAAUAUGUUAGGUCAGAGGAGGCAUACUGGAAAGACCACUUGAAAUGCAGCACCAUAAAAAUGCCCCCCUCAAAUGCUUUUGUUGUACGGUACAUGCUAAACAGCUCACUCACUUUCUCCUACUGUAUGGAAAUUAAUGAAUUCAUUGAGGUUAACUUUUUUACAGUAGGCUAUUUUUUGUUGUUGUACAUGGUUAACUUUCAGCGAGGAAAUGCCCUUUUUCUUAAACUUCUGUGUGAAAUAUGUAUUAUGUAUAACAAAUGUUACAUUAUUUUAUACUAGAAUGAAAACUUGUAAUGGGUAAACUCUCACUGUAUUGCUAGUAUAUUUAGAGACCAGAUAUUUGAUACUUGGACAUCACUGCAGCUAUAUUUGAAUGGCAGCUUGGUAAUACAAUUAGUCUUGAAGUAAAAAUCUAUGAAUUUCAUGGUCAAGCCAAGUUCCACAGAAUGGAAAGAGACACAUGCUCACGCCCCCUGUUGGAGAAACUGUACAAAGGAACAUCAGGUCAUUAAAUCAAUGUUUUCCGCAAAGUUAUACAACUUUAGAAUAUUCAGUCACUCUUAAACAACAGACACCUUUCUGAACACGUGUUAUGUUAAUCAAAACUUACUGCAAAUAAAGAUG